Long non-coding RNA from Heterocephalus glaber (naked mole-rat), 1300 nucleotides. The record is from Ensembl. Lineage: Eukaryota; Metazoa; Chordata; Mammalia; Rodentia; Bathyergidae.
GCCCCAGUGCCUUGUUGGUCAUCCCAUCGGUGGUGUGGCUGAUGGGUGAGAAAGAGAGGGGACCAAGGAAGUAAAAGUGCUUCUCAAAAUGCAGAUUGACUUCCCACUCCUGCAGACCUGGCCUCCUGCUGUCAUUAUAGACUCCUUUCUCCCUGUUCUCCCUUUCUACUCUGCAGCAAUGCUGAGCUUCAGCCCUUUUAUCUGGCUCACUUCCCCACCCCAGGCCCUUUGCGCAUUCACAUUUUUCUAGGUUGAAAAGCCUCCCUAUCUUUUCUCCCAACCCCUGACCUCCACUCUCAUGUCCUUAAGUCCCACUAAGUCUUGAUUUAUAUGACACUUUCUCCAAAAUAUAUCUUCUUUUCCGCCAUCCUCACCCCACCUGGAUGAGUUGAAGUGUUCCUUCUUGGUGCUCCGUAGCACUUGGGUUUCACCUCUUGUGAUACUUUUCAUUCUUUUAAGUAUUUAAUAAUCUCUUUAUGGCAGAAGAAUGGAGGGAUUGUGAGGACAGAGACUGUGUAUUAUUAGCAAAGUCACAUUUCAGGGGUUCAGUGGAUGAUUGCGUGUCAAAGGAAUAAGGGGGCUGUAUGAACUGGGAAGAAGGGAAAGUUGUCCCGAGGUGGAGAUGGGAGGAGGUUUUGGAAAUGCUAGUGGCCAGAAACUGUGCCUAGCUGCUGUGAGGUGAGGAACUUUGUUCUGCUGCACCCUUCCACCAUAAUGCUCUGCCUCACCACAGGUCCAAGGACAACAGAGCCAUGGUGCCAUGGACUGAAACCUCUAAACUGCCUAGAAGCAGUGGAGCCAAGUGACCAUGGACUGAAACAUCUGAAACCAUGAGCCAGAAUAAGCCUUUGCUCCAUUAAGUUGAUGUUCCCAAGUAUUUUGUUAUAGUGAUGAGCAGUCUAUUGAACAUUAUAGCUUAGUCCCACAGUCCACCAUAGAGUAUUGGCUGUUCACCUUCACGACUGCAUAGCUGGCUGUCAGAUGCCACCACUGCCACUGCCCAGCGACACCAGUGUAUCCCCCUGUACAUCAUUAGCCAGGACAAGAUCAAAAUUCAAAAUCUGUAGUAUGGUUUCUACUCAAUGUGUAUCACAUUUUUACUAUUAUAAAGUGGAAAAAUAAUAAAGUCAAACUACUAUAAGUCAGGAACAGUUUGCAUAUGUCUACAUGUAUAUACACAUACACCAUCUCUUGUUUACUUCAUACACACACACACUUCUCCCUCAGUGACUAAGCCAGCAGAGACAGUAUGUGAAACACACUCAAGGAACCUGGUAUUUGUCAUAUUGCUUUUUCCCAG